Long non-coding RNA from Electrophorus electricus (electric eel), 1143 nucleotides. RefSeq lists it as uncharacterized. NCBI's taxonomy places the organism in Eukaryota, Metazoa, Chordata, Actinopteri, Gymnotiformes, Gymnotidae. The record is from RefSeq and is a predicted model, not a curated record.
CACACACUAUGGUAAGUAAAUUGACCCACACACAAAUGUUGAUUUCAAAACUUAUGCUUCAUGAUGUGUUUAUAUAGGAUAAAUAGAUUGUGCAGAUACCCAAUGUAUUAAGUAUAACCCAAAUGCUUUGUUUUGCACAAAAUGAGUUUACAGAGAAGUGCUGAUGCAUGACAUAUCACAAGAGCUUUUUUUCUUUAGUGCAAUCAGCAAAAGAACCAUACGGGUAGCAUACCUGAUCUUGAAGCCUGUCUGCCUCUGGAAAAGCGUGUGUGACAAGAUGAGAUUUUACGCCUUGAAAUCCAUUGAGAAGAAAAGAUGUGUCAGAGCCAUUUCAUUUGUGGACUGUUUUUUUUUUCACCUGAGUCAGCUCACCUCGGCAGUUCUUCCUUUUCCAGUUCCAUAAGGUCAGAGUGACGUUGCAGAUCACAGAGAUCCCCAGUCCCAGUCCCAUACCAACAACAGGCCAGAAAUGCAUUGGACACUCUUGGAAAGAGAGACCGGUGAUUAGCACUGAGGAAUGGCAACAGGUGGCCACAGCACAGUAUCAGAGAGGCUGAGGACACUCUUGGAGAGGUUGCACACACAGCUGUGUGGAGAAGAGCUGAUCUCACACUGAUGGCUGCUGUUGUGAUGAGUGUAAAUGAUUUUAGGAUGGGAGUCUCCUGCAGCAGCUCUGAACCAAAGCACUCAGAGUUCUGCUGUUGUCCUCUCAGAGACAUUGACUCUCCUGGGGAACCCUCCCCAACACUGGACUUUGGGACUCUAGAACACUGAUAUGUUUAACUCUGUAUGGCCUAAUCAAUAUAGUACAGAAUGUUUAAGAUCUUUGUUGAUCUUGUUUCCACUAAUACAUUUAGACUAACAAGGACUACCUAAGAAAGGUCAACGUGUUCAUGAUACAAGUACGAAAAUCACUCUACUGAAAAAAACAUCAAAUCAAAUCCCAAUAUUUAAACUCAUUCUCCUUCAGAAGUCUUGCUUGAUAUGAUGUAUGUCAUACUUUGAAGAAUUAUUAUCUUAACGUACGUUAUAAUUGCUGAAAAAAUGAAUUGAUUACCUGUCACAUCUAAGAAUGUAACAUAUGAGAACCUCAUCACUUUCAAAUCCAUCAUUACGCAGAAAUACAUUCCUUCAUCGUCUUCA